RNAcentral lists this ribosomal RNA (486 nucleotides) under uncultured bacterium. RNAcentral describes it as "partial 16S ribosomal RNA". It matches the Rfam family "Bacterial small subunit ribosomal RNA", at positions 30 to 507 of the family's 1533-position model. The record is from RNAcentral.
AUUGAACGCUGGCGGCAUGCCUUACACAUGCAAGUCGAACGGCAGCACGGGUGCUUGCCCCUGGUGGCGAGUGGCGAACGGGUGAGUAAUACAUCGGAACAUGUCCUGUAGUGGGGGAUAGCCCGGCGAAAGCCGGAUUAAUACCGCAUACGAUCCACGGAUGAAAGCGGGGGACCUUCGGGCCUCGCGCUAUAGGGUUGGCCGAUGGCUGAUUAGCUAGUUGGUGGGGUAAAGGCCUACCAAGGCGACGAUCAGUAGCUGGUCUGAGAGGACGACCAGCCACACUGGGGCUGAGACACGGCCCAGACUCCUACGGGAGGCAGCAGUGGGGAAUUUUGGACAAUGGGCGAAAGCCUGAUCCAGCAAUGCCGCGUGUGUGAAGAAGGCCUUCGGGUUGUAAAGCACUUUUGUCCGGAAAGAAAUCCUUGACUCUAAUACAGUCGGGGGAUGACGGUACCGGAAGAAUAAGCACCGGCUAACUACGUG